AGGCAAGUGCCACCGGGUGGUGGAUCGGUACGUGCAGCCCAUCGAGGACGGGCUGGCCCAGGACCUGGAGCCCCAAGACAUCUGCGUCUCCAUCGGCAUGUAUGAGAGCCCGGGCCACCCAGGGUGGCAGGUUCCUGGCCUGCACCGGGCCCCGGCUGCAGAGAGCCUGGUGGAUGCCUCGGGACCGUGACGCCCUCUGCCAGAUGACGCCUGAGCUCUGGGUGGCCAGGGCAGAGCGGAGCCCUGCGGCGCCCGUAGCCCCGGCCAGGAGGGGCUGCCCCCAGCUGUGACGCCCGGCCGGGAACCUGCCUUUGCCGCCCGGCCUUUCAAUAAAGCUUCUGCCUG
Molecule: long non-coding RNA, 345 nt
Organism: Caretta caretta (loggerhead turtle)
Lineage: Eukaryota; Metazoa; Chordata; Testudines; Cheloniidae
Source: RefSeq, a predicted model, not a curated record